GAGAGUUUGAUCCUGGCUCAGGAUGAACGCUGGCGGUAUGCCUAACACAUGCAAGUCGAACGAAAAUACAUAGUAUUUUAGUGGCGCACGGGUGAGUAACACGUAAGAAUCUCCCUUUAGGAAGAGGAUAACAAUUGGAAACGAUUGCUAAUACUCUAUAUGCUGAGAAGUAAAAUGACGUAAAACUUUUGAACGUUACCUAGAGAUGAGCUUGCGUCUGAUUAGCCUGUUGGUAAGAUAAUAGCUUACCAAAGCUAUAAUCAGUAGCUGGUCUGAGAGGAUAGACAGCCACACCGGAACUUAGAUACGGUCCGGACUCCUACGGGAGGCAGCAGUGAGGAAUUUUCCGCAAUGGGCGCAAGCCUGACGGAGCAAUACCGCGUGGAGGAUGAAAGCCUAUGGGUUGUAAACUCCUUUUCUUAGAGAAGAAGUUCUGACGGUAUCUAAAGAAUAAGCAUCGGCUAACUCCGUGCCAGCAGCCGCGGUAAUACGGGGGAUGCAAGCGUUAUCCGGAAUCAUUGGGUGUAAAGCGUCUGUAGGUUGUUUGUUUAAGUCAGUUGUUAAAUUUCAGAACUCAAUUUUGAUAACGGCAACUGAAACUAAUAAGCUAGAGUCAAGUAGAGGUAGAAGGAACUCCGAGUGUAGUGGUGAAAUGCGUAGAUAUUCGGAAGAACACCGAUGGCGAAAGCAUUCUGCUGGGCUUGUACUGACACUGAGAGACGAGAGCGAGGGGAGAGAAUGGGAUUAGAUACCCCAGUAUUCCUCGCCGUAAACGAUGGAUAUUAGAUAUUAGGUAAAUAUUUUUUAUUUAGUAUUGAAGCUAACGCGUUAAAUAUCCCACCUGGGGAGUAUGCUCGCAAGAGUGAAACUUAAAGGAAUUGACGGGGGCCCGCACAAGCGGUGGAGCAUGUGGUUUAAUUCGAUGCAACGCGAAGAACCUUACCAGGACUUGACUACAUCUAUACCUCUUCGAAAGAAGAGAUCUUUUAAGAUGACAGGUGGUGCAUGGCUGUCGUCAGCUCGUGCCGUGAGGUGUUGGGUUAAGUCCCGCAACGAGCGCAACCCUUAUUAUUAGUUAUGUUUCUAAAGAUACUGCCGGUAAUAAAUCGGAGGAAGGUGAGGAUGACGUCAAGUCAUCAUGCCCCUUAAGUUCUGGGCUACACACGUGCUACAACGGUUAAGACAAUGAGAUGCAAUUUUGUAAAAAUAAGCUAACCUCAGAAACUUAACCUCAGUUCGAAUUGUAGGCUGAAACUCGCCUACAUGAAGUUGGAAUCGCUAGUAAUCGCUGGUCAGCUAUACAGCGGUGAAUACGUUCCCGGGCCUUGUACACACCGCCCGUCACACCACGGAAAUUAGCUACACCCAAAGCUAUUACCUUAACCUAUAAUAUCUUAGGAGAGGGGUAUCUAAGGUGGAGUUAGUGACUGGGGUGAAGUCGUAACAAGGUAAGGCUACUGGAAGGUGGCCUUGGAUCACC
Molecule: ribosomal RNA, 1480 nt
Filed under: Partenskyella glossopodia
Lineage: Eukaryota; Cercozoa; Chlorarachniophyceae
Description: SSU rRNA
Rfam family: Bacterial small subunit ribosomal RNA
Source: RNAcentral